UCCACUGGGGGAGCACAUUGCUGAGAUUGACGCUGUCAAGACCCUUUGAACCUGAUCCGGACGAUGCCGGCGUAGGGAAGUGGUUGA
RNAcentral lists this non-coding RNA (87 nucleotides) under uncultured Sporolactobacillus sp. RNAcentral describes it as "TPP riboswitch (THI element)". It matches the Rfam family "TPP riboswitch aptamer (THI element)", at positions 6 to 95 of the family's 105-position model. From Rfam's summary of the family: Vitamin B(1) in its active form thiamin pyrophosphate (TPP) is an essential coenzyme that is synthesised by coupling of pyrimidine and thiazole moieties in bacteria. The previously detected thiamin-regulatory element, thi box was extended, resulting in a new, highly conserved RNA secondary structure, the THI element, which is widely distributed in eubacteria and also occurs in some archaea. Lineage: Bacteria; Bacillati; Bacillota; Bacilli; Caryophanales; Sporolactobacillaceae. The record is from RNAcentral.